This 470-nucleotide ribosomal RNA is filed under the name uncultured bacterium. RNAcentral's name for it is "partial 16S ribosomal RNA". It matches the Rfam family "Bacterial small subunit ribosomal RNA", at positions 28 to 507 of the family's 1533-position model. The record is from RNAcentral.
GACGAACGCUGGCUGCGUGCUUAACACAUGCAAGUCGAACGGUGAACGUUUGAGCUUGCUCCCUCCGGAUCAGUGUCGAACGGGUGAGUAACACUUGAGCAAUCUUCCCCGAACUCUGGGAUAACCGUUGGAAACGACCUCUAAUACCGGAUACGACGCGGGAGGGCAUCCUCUCCGCGUGCAACGAACUUCGGUUCGGGAUGAGCUCGCGGCCUAUCAGCUUGUUGGUGAGGUAACUGCUCACCAAGGCGACGACGGGUAGCCGGCCUGAGAGGGUGACCGGCCACACUGGGAAGGAGACACGGCCCAGAGGCCUAAGGGAGGCAGCAGUGGGGAAUAUUGCAGAAUGGGCGCAAGCAUGAUGCAGAAACGCCGCGGGAGGGACGACGGCCUGCGGGGUGUAAACCUCUUUUAGCAGGGAAGAAGCGAAAGUGAAGGUACCUGCAGAAAAAGCACCGGCUAACUACGUG